This is a non-coding RNA of Pelobates cultripes (western spadefoot toad), 479 nucleotides long. NCBI's taxonomy places the organism in Eukaryota, Metazoa, Chordata, Amphibia, Anura, Pelobatidae. The record is from the annotation of a GenBank genome assembly.
CUCAGUACAGGAAUAGCAGAGAGAGCUGCAGGGCAGGAUGGAGGUGUAGUGACAGAGCUGUGUGUGGGGUCAGUACAGGAAUAGCAGAGAGAGCUGCAGGGCAGGAUGGAGGUGCAGUGACAGAGCUGUGUGUGGGGUCAGUACAGGAAUAGCAGAGAGAGCUGCAGGGCAGGAUGGAGGUGCAGUGACAGAGCUGUGUGUGGGGUCAGUACAGGAAUAGCAGAGAGCUGCAGGGCAGGAUGGAGGUGCAGUGACAGAGCUGUGUGUGGGGUCAGUACAGGAAUAGCAGAGAGAGCUGCAGGGCAGGAUGGAGGUGCAGUGACAGAGCUGUGUGUGGGGUCAGUACAGGAAUAGCAGAGAGAGCUGCAGGGCAGGAUGGAGGUGUAGUGACAGAGCUGUGUGGGGGGUCAGUACAGGAAUAGCAGAGAGAGCUGCAGGGCAGGAUGGAGGUGUAGUGACAGAGCUGUGUGUGGGGUCAG